AGAGUUUGAUCCUGGCUCAGGACGAACGCUGACGGUGUGCUUUAGACAUGCAAGUCGAACGAGAAAGCCCUUCGGGGUGAGUACAGUGGCGAACGGGUGAGUAACACGUGGGCAAUCUGCCCCUCGCAGGGGGACAACCGGGGGAAACUCCGGCUAAUACCCCGUACGCUUGCGGAGCCGCAUGGCUCUGUAAGGAGAGGUAGCUUCGGCCAUCCGGCGAGGGAUGAGCCCGCGGUACAUUAGCUAGUUGGUGGGGUAACGGCCCACCAAGGCGACGAUGUAUAGCUGGUCUGAGAGGAUGAUCAGCCACACUGGGACUGAGACACGGCCCAGACUCCUACGGGAGGCAGCAGUCGGGAAUCUUGCGCAAUGGGCGAAAGCCUGACGCAGCAACACCGUGUGAGCGAUGAAGGCCUUCGGGUCGUAAAGCUCUGUUGUUGGGGACGAAGGGCGAGGGGUUAAUAGCCCCGAGCUUGACGGUACCCUUCGAGGAAGCCCCGGCUAACUACGUGCCAGCAGCCGCGGUAAUACGUAGGGGGCGAGCGUUGUCCGGAAUUAUUGGGCGUAAAGAGCGUGUAGGCGGUUCGGUAAGUCUGCUGUGAAAACCCAGGGCUCAACCCUGGGCGUGCAGUGGAUACUGCCGGGCUAGAGGGUGGUAGAGGCGAGUGGAAUUCCCAGUGUAGCGGUGAAAUGCGCAGAUAUUGGGAGGAACACCAGUAGCGAAGGCGGCUCGCUGGGCCAUUCCUGACGCUGAGACGCGAAAGCUAGGGGAGCGAACAGGAUUAGAUACCCCCGUAGUCC
This 801-nucleotide ribosomal RNA is filed under the name uncultured Rubrobacter sp. Its description in RNAcentral is "bacterial SSU rRNA". It matches the Rfam family "Bacterial small subunit ribosomal RNA", at positions 8 to 796 of the family's 1533-position model. Lineage: Bacteria; Bacillati; Actinomycetota; Rubrobacteria; Rubrobacterales; Rubrobacteraceae. The record is from RNAcentral.